UUGCCUUCCUUUUACAUCACUCUCUGAUUAUCUUCACUCUCUGAAGGCUGUGUGUUGUGCAACAUCAAAAGCUCUCUCAGAUGGGAAAGAAGAAGGGGGAAAAGGAUUAAUGGUUUAUCUUGCUGCUGCUGUGAGUGAUUUUUAUGUUCCUUAUGAAGAACAAGCAACACAUAAAAUACAGUCAAGAGACGUCGG
RNAcentral lists this non-coding RNA (195 nucleotides) under Paramoeba aestuarina. Lineage: Eukaryota; Discosea; Flabellinia; Dactylopodida; Paramoebidae. The record is from RNAcentral.